CGUGCAGCAAUUAUUCGUCAAUAUUCACCAGCGAAUUUUAGACAGUUUUAAGAAGGCUACUCAUAUCGCAGACAAGGGUAGAGGAGAGAUAUGUAUAGUGAACUUUGACAGUUGUCACUUAACGAAAAACAAUUGCUGUACGCGCCCCAAGUCCCUUGUUAGUCUUUCAUU
This is a long non-coding RNA of Bradysia coprophila, 171 nucleotides long. The record is from RefSeq and is a predicted model, not a curated record. Lineage: Eukaryota; Metazoa; Arthropoda; Insecta; Diptera; Sciaridae.